GCAUCGGGGCGAGGAGCAAUCCUUGCCGCCGGCGACCGGCGCACGGCCUGAGUAACGCGUAUGCGACCUGCCCGUUGCAGGGGGAUAAUCGGGAGAAAUCCCGUCUAAUACCGCGUAACGCCGCGGGGCUGCAUGGCCCUGCGGCCAAAGGAAGCGAUUCCGGCAACGGAUGGGCAUGCGUGACAUUAGCUAGUUGGCGGGGCAACGGCCCACCAAGGCGACGAUGUCUAGGGGUUCUGAGAGGAAGGUCCCCCACACUGGUACUGAGACACGGACCAGACUCCUACGGGAGGCAGCAGUGAGGAAUAUUGGUCAAUGGGCGCGAGCCUGAACCAGCCAAGUCGCGUGAGGGAUGACGGCCCUACGGGUUGUAAACCUCUUUUGUCGGGGAGCAAAUUCCGCCACGCGUGGCGGAGUCGAGAGUACCCGAAGAAAAAGCAUCGGCUAACUCCGUGCCAGCAGCCGCGGUAAUACGGAGGAUGCGAGCGUUAUCCGGAUUUAUUGGGUUUAAAGGGUGCGUAGGCGGACUGUCAAGUCAGCGGUAAAAUACGGGGGCUCAACCUCCGCCCGCCGUUGAAACUGACGGUCUUGAGUGGGCGAGAAGUAUGCGGAAUGCGUGGUGUAGCGGUGAAAUGCAUAGAUAUCACGCAGAACUCCGAUUGCGAAGGCAGCAUACCGGCGCCCAACUGACGCUGAAGCACGAAAGCGUGGGUAUCGAACAGGAUUAGAUACCCUGGUAGUCCACGCAGUAAACGAUGAAUAC
This 763-nucleotide ribosomal RNA is filed under the name uncultured bacterium. RNAcentral's name for it is "bacterial SSU rRNA". It matches the Rfam family "Bacterial small subunit ribosomal RNA", at positions 66 to 816 of the family's 1533-position model. The record is from RNAcentral.